Dendroctonus ponderosae (mountain pine beetle) is the source of this 257-nucleotide long non-coding RNA. RefSeq lists it as uncharacterized. The record is from RefSeq and is a predicted model, not a curated record. The transcript is spliced from 2 exons. Lineage: Eukaryota; Metazoa; Arthropoda; Insecta; Coleoptera; Curculionidae.
CACGAACAGUCCGGUGCCGAAAUCGACCAAAUUAAUUGGCGAACUUUCAGUCGGCAGCGAAAGAGAGAAGCUUAAUGUGCAGAUAUGAAGAUGAUUGAGCAAUGAACCUUUUCCAAUAUUCUACACCUACGUUAGCCAGUCGCGACUCACCUUGAGAACACUUUAGCAAACACUGAAGAAUGCUGUGCGUCCGCGGUGUGCGGGUGACUAGGAAACUUGUCAUCUUCUUUUUCCCCACUCAAGGUCUCCAUCCAGGA